Molecule: small nuclear RNA, 103 nt
Organism: Sorex fumeus (smoky shrew)
Lineage: Eukaryota; Metazoa; Chordata; Mammalia; Eulipotyphla; Soricidae
Source: RefSeq, a predicted model, not a curated record
GUGCUUGCUUAGCAGCAUAUAUGCUAAAAUUGGAACAACUCGAAGAUUAGCAUGGCUCCUACACAGACAUAUCAUGAAAAUUCAAGAAGUGUUCCAUGUUAAA